UCAUUGCAAUCAGAAAACGUAUGUUGGCCGAUCAAAACCCUUGCGGGUGAUGUUGCUCAAGAUCAGUAGUGUACAUAGGCAACUUCAACCCAAUGUAAUGCGGAGCGCGUUCCAGCUCUUCAACACAAUCGGCUGUAAGGAGGUUACGUUCUGCGUUGUUCAGUUUAUAUAAGAAUAUCAAAUUAAAUUAAUCUAAGAAAGGCUUUUCCAGGCAGUUUGAAUGUAUAUUCUUAUUCUGUGCAGAAUCUGUGUCAUUUGACCUACAACACAAAUGCGCAUCAUGACUUCAACAAAGGCAACUUGGAACGUACUCGUUCCUCCCAUGCUCCCACUCUCUUUCCCGCUCCAAAUAAAGACCCUUCACACCUACCACCCUUCUAUUCAGACCUACGGCUGACACCUUUAGUCCCUCUCCAUCCUCUUGAUACAGCCUCUGGCUGCAGUUUAAAAUGGCUCCUGGCUCCACCCGUAAGCUGUGUCCUAGUUGUAACACAUCAAUAGGAGUAGCAUCAAAUAAGUGCAAGUUCUGUGGUGCAAUAAUCCAGCUAAAGGUCAAGUUAGAGGCCCAAAAAAUGAAGGCAACAAAUGAAUGGGCAAAUAAGACAAUGAAAAAUGGAAGAUAUGCAACCUUGGUUAAUGCAGCAAACAAGCUGGUACAUAGGUUCCACAAGGUAGGAGUGUACCCCCUGCUACUCCUCAGCAAGAGGAAGAAGGAUAACAUUUUGUCAUCAACUGCACUGUGUCCUCAGUGGUAUGAUGAAUCAGACCUCAAUGGCAGCAAUCCAAAGGUUGUAUGCGGCAAUUGUAAAAGGAGACCAGCUACACCCUCAACAUCACCCAGGUUGAAACCCCGAUAUCCCCCACCGCCCAGGAGACCAGCUACACCCCCAUCCUCAACCAGGUUGAACCCCCAAUAACCCCCACCGCCCAGGAGACCAGCUACACCCAAACCAAACCAAAGAAGACGGGGAGAAAGUCCUAUCACCCUCAAAGAACCCUCCAACCCGCUGAGCAUGACACAGUCAACCCCAUCCAACCCCGACCAAGGAAGAGGAAAUAUGACUACAUGCAAAAAGAGUGUCCAGUGCAUCCGGGGCAAACGAUUUUCCCUAUUCUCAAGAUUCUUGCCAAUAGAACUUCAAAGGAGGCUAAUCCUAGUGCAACACCAAUUGUAGUUAACUUGCAGUGCAUAGACCUUGUAGUUAAAGUGGCAAUAUGUAACUUUUUGGGUGGCCCGACCAAAUUCAUAUAGAAUUGUUAGUUACAGAUCAUCAUUCUACUUGAAAGCAAGUCUAAGAAGCGGUAGAUCUGUUCUACUGUGUGCGUUAUUUAUAUGCUUCCCGUUCUUAAGUUUUGUUAUU
Long non-coding RNA from Salvelinus namaycush (lake trout), 1361 nucleotides. RefSeq lists it as uncharacterized. The record is from RefSeq and is a predicted model, not a curated record. NCBI's taxonomy places the organism in Eukaryota, Metazoa, Chordata, Actinopteri, Salmoniformes, Salmonidae. The transcript is spliced from 6 exons.